Molecule: non-coding RNA, 2255 nt
Organism: Podarcis muralis (Common wall lizard)
Lineage: Eukaryota; Metazoa; Chordata; Lepidosauria; Squamata; Lacertidae
Source: RefSeq, a predicted model, not a curated record
GGAGGGAGGGAGGAGGCGCCACCAUGGUGUGCGUGAGGGAGAGGGGGGGAAAUGGAAUGGUACGGGGGGGGGGAAUGGUGCAGCCCAAACGAACAGUAUCCCCACACCGAUCCAUGGACAGUUUGCGGGCUGGAUCCUGAAGGCAAUUGGGCCUGAUCCAGCCCGCAGUUUGCCAACCCCUGAUUUAAAUAGACAGCAGUAUAUUCAAGUAACCACAUAAGCUUGUGUAACUACAUCAUCUUGUAAUAAAUAAACAUUGAUUUCUUUAUCAUAUAAAGUAACUUCAUCUGGCUGGCUUAUAUCCCACAGUUACCAGUGAUAUUAAAUGCUGGCUGCAGUACAUUUUUAGAGAGAAAAAACAAAACACUGGAGGGUGGGAAGUUGAGUUUUGUUAAUAAAAUAAGUAAGGGGGGGAACCCUCUCCUGCCACAAGGACUCAGCAUGUUCAGUGCUCAAGGUCACAAAAUGCUGACUCAUUGUGUAUGGCCUGUCUGCGUGUGUGUAAAAAAACCAGGAGGAAGAGGGAAUGGAUAUCCUGUACAAGGGCGCUCUGCACUGCAAUAUUUUGUAGGGGCCACGUGUGACAUCUGUAAGGCAGUGAGGCUAGAUACAAACUCAAUAGGAGGCUCAUUUGCAUAAAUUUCAUUCCACAGAGGUCGAAAUAGAGUCAAACUGUCUGCAAGCUGAGGACACUUCCGUCUGGCUAGGUCUACUGAGAGGAAAGGCAAUCUUGGAGUCUGCACUAUUAAAAGCAUUUUCUUUUCACACAGGGCCCACAGUAUUUGUCUGCAUAUGUGAUUGUUCUUAACAGUGUUAGAAAGCCGAAGAGAAGAAAUGUAGGAAGAUUACAAAUUGGAUAGUAAAGCAAGGUCCAGCUUCUUACCCAUUUGGGAUGUAUUUGCCUUACAUCUUUUCUUAGGGCUGCGCUCCCAGGGCUGCACAUUGCCCAAACUGUGGAUUAUUAGCAAGCAAAUAAGGGCAUCAGAAGUGAUUCUGAUUGUCAGUGGAUGUGGGUUUUAAUUUGUAAAUCAUUUCCUAAUUUAUAUUAGGCUACAGUAGUAUCUUUUGACUAUUUUGCUUUCAACAUAAAAUAGUAAAUUGUUUCCUUUCUAGCUGUUCCCUGGUCCAAAAAAGGUUGUACAAUAAUUAAUUGAAAUCAGGUCAAAUUUGUGGGGCAGAUGGAUUAUAGUAGAACGAUAGGUGGGUUCUUUUGUAUGCGUCUAGAAGACAUCUAGAAUAAAUGUGUUGGGGAAAUUACUGUGGAAUUCUCCUAGAAAUUGGCUGUACCGCAAUGAAUUAUCCCAAUUCAGCUGUUAGCAGCUAAUCAGACAUAACCAGUGGUGGCCCGUGAUGCAUAUAUCAUCCCCAUUCACCUCAAAAGACUCAUCCUACCACUUCAAGAAGGGCCCUAAUGGCAUUGCAAUGUAUUUUCAGAUCCACACUGGCAGCACAAGGGGAAGACUUCUAAUGCAUGCAGACUUCUCUUCCUGCACCUGGGCAAAUGUGUUUAUUUCUGGAUGCUCUGUUCCUUUAAAGAUAAUACUUAAACAGAAGCAAUCAAGAGGCAGGCAGAAAAGUUCUUUUCUUCAGCUGACCAUAAGAACAAUCUUACUGGCUCAGAUCAAAGACCCACCAGGACCUGAGUGUGACAGCAUUCUCCCCAUCUGUGGUUCUCAGCAAUUGGUAUACAAUAGAGGGUCUGUUUUUCCUUCAAGAUUCUGCUACAGCUGAUCGUCUGAGUGGCCUUCCCAUAAAUAGCCUGUCUUUGCGUUUCCUCUCCUGUAGUCUGGCAUGUGGUUCAUGGGGUUGCUGAUGCUGCGGAACAGGUUGUGGCAACGUGCGGUGAAGAUGUGUCGCUCCCUUGUAAAUAUUUUCAGGAUAUACAAGUCUCAAAAGGGGCAGUCUCCUGGUAUAAGGUAAGUAAGUACCUGUUACUUUCAUUCCCCUUUGAUUUCCCAUCUGUAUCUGCAUUUUAUUUAAUCUGUAAGUGUGGUUAAAAAACGUUGGUGGAGACAUUUGUAUGGAUGCUGUGAUAGGUGAAUCAGAUCUAUCAUGAACAUUAUUCAGCUGUUUCUUUGAAUUCGUGUGAGCAAAAAAGGAAGAGUGUGAGGAGUGGGCAUGCAAUCACUGCCCCAACAUCUCUGUUUAAGCUGGCUUGAUUUCAAACUACUGCAUUGAGAGGGAAGGUCUGAAGGGAGAUUUUCAGUAUGUUUGGGUGAGCAUGCUUAGAAUGCUUUUUCAGGGUUACCAGUUAU